AAAUAAUCCUCUAAAAUUCAAUAUAUUCGAAGUUAAUGAAUAUACGUUGAUCGAGACGAAAAUUCAUUAUGUCAAAAAUAAUUACAUUACUACUAAUUAUCUCAUUUAUUGGCGUGUUUGUUAGUUUUGUUGAAGGGUGCCAAGGCGGUUGGUGCCAUCCGAAACAAGGUUAUGGGUGUUGUCAAGGACAUGAAUGUUCCUCAUAUAUGCUUCAAGGAACAUGCAUGACUGAAGAGGAGGUACGAAAGCACGAACAAGCAAGUCUCAUCAUUCAACUCGGAAAAAAAUAGAAAUUUAACAUGAUACAAUCAAACAGUACUUUUAUUACAUUGUUUUUUGGAAUAAUUUGUUCAGCUUCAAAUAAUUUUUGUGCGGAAAAAAUUGUAAUCUCAACUGAAAAUUAA
This is a long non-coding RNA of Microplitis demolitor, 404 nucleotides long. RefSeq lists it as uncharacterized. Lineage: Eukaryota; Metazoa; Arthropoda; Insecta; Hymenoptera; Braconidae. The record is from RefSeq and is a predicted model, not a curated record. The transcript has 3 exons.